This 489-nucleotide ribosomal RNA is filed under the name uncultured bacterium. RNAcentral describes it as "bacterial SSU rRNA". It matches the Rfam family "Bacterial small subunit ribosomal RNA", at positions 30 to 521 of the family's 1533-position model. The record is from RNAcentral.
AUUGAACGCUGGCGGCAGGCCUAACACAUGCAAGUCGAGCGGUAACAGUCCUUCGGGAGCUGACGAGCGGCGGACGGGUGAGUAACGCGUAGGAAUCUACCCAGUAGAGGGGGAUAGCCCGGGGAAACUCGGAUUAAUACCGCAUAAACUCUAUGGAGCAAAGGGGGCUUCGGCUCUCGCUACUGGAUGAGCCUGCGUGGGAUUAGCUAGUUGGUGAGGUAAUGGCUCACCAAGGCGACGAUCUCUAACUGGUCUGAGAGGAUGAUCAGUCACACUGGAACUGAGACACGGUCCAGACUCCUACGGGAGGCAGCAGUGGGGAAUAUUGCACAAUGGGCGAAAGCCUGAUGCAGCCAUGCCGCGUGUGUGAAGAAGGCCUUAGGGUUGUAAAGCACUUUCAGUAGGGAGGAAUUAGUAGGGUUAAUAACCUUAUGAAAUGACGUUACCUACAGAAGAAGUACCGGCUAACUCCGUGCCAGCAGCCGCGGU